RNAcentral lists this ribosomal RNA (672 nucleotides) under uncultured bacterium. RNAcentral's name for it is "bacterial SSU rRNA". It matches the Rfam family "Bacterial small subunit ribosomal RNA", at positions 138 to 807 of the family's 1533-position model. The record is from RNAcentral.
CGGGGAUAGCCUUGCGAAAGCAAGAUUAAUACCCGAUGUUCUCACCGUUCCGCAUGUUACGGUGAGCAAAGAAUUUCGGUAUGCGAUGGCGAUGCGUCCCAUUAGCUAGUUGGCGGGGUAACGGCCCACCAAGGCUCCGAUGGGUAGGGGUUCUGAGAGGAAGGUCCCCCACACUGGAACUGAGACACGGUCCAGACUCCUACGGGAGGCAGCAGUGAGGAAUAUUGGUCAAUGGACGCAAGUCUGAACCAGCCAAGUAGCGUGCAGGAUGACGGCCCUCCGGGUUGUAAACUGCUUUUAGUUGGGGAUAAAAGGGGGCUCGUGAGCCCCGUAUUGUAUGUACCAUCAGAAAAAGGACCGGCUAAUUCCGUGCCAGCAGCCGCGGUAAUACGGAAGGUCCGGGCGUUAUCCGGAUUUAUUGAGUUUAAAGGGAGCGUAGGCCGGCUUUUAAGUCAGCUGUGAAAGUCCGCGGCUCAACCGUGGAAUUGCAGUUGAAACUGGAGGCCUUGAGUGCACACAGGGAUGCCGGAAUUCAUGGUGUAGCGGUGAAAUGCUUAGAUAUCAUGAAGAACUCCGAUCGCGAAGGCAAGUGUCCGGGGUGCAACUGACGCUGAGGCUCGAAAGUGCGGGUAUCAAACAGGAUUAGAUACCCUGGUAGUCCGCACCGUAAAC